UAAAAUCUACAUCUGCUUUAUUGUACUGUUAAAUAGGUGAGAGCUUCACAAUUCUCUUUAAACGGAUAUAAAAUACCUAAAAUAUCAUGCUCCACAAAAUCUUGUCAUUGUUGAAAAUUAACCAGUACAACUUGUGGUCAGUAAGUCAUUUAAAUUAACUAAUACAGGUUGUGGACAGAAAGAAAUUUAAAUUAACUAAUACAGAGUGUGGUCAGAAAGUAAUUUAAAUUAACUAAUACAGCUUGUGGUCAGAAAGUAAUUUAAAUUAACUAAUACAGCUUGUGGUCAGAAAGUAAUUUAAAUUAAAUAAUACAGCGUGUGGUCAGAAAGUACGUUAACGAUAACAAAGUAAAACUUAAUGAACACUUAUGGAUUUAACAAAGAAAUAUGUGCUUGAGUUUACUGCAAGAAUCUGCCAAUGGAAAGGGGAAUUGGCCUGGAAUUAAGAUAGAUUGUUGAACUGUUUCUUAACAAAACCUAUAUCACAAUAUAUAGGUUUAUAUUUAUGUUUUAGACUUCAUAUAUUUGUGUUUUAGACUCCAAUUUAGCAUAUAUUAACUGGUGUCUCCUACAGUGUAUCUGUCACCUUUCAGUAUUUCCUAAAAUAUAAUCUUAUGAAACACUUAUUAAGACUGUGUUUGAAUUUCAUUGAAUUUACAACGCAACCAAAAGAUACUAUAAGACAAAGUAGGAACUAGUUUGUCUUAUGGUAAAGCCUGAGGUUGACAAAAGGCAGAGCUCCUCUGUCAACCUUUGCCAAAUGAUGGCUGUGUGAUUCAGGCUUUGACUAUGGAGGAUCCCGCGGUUUUGCAUGAGCAAGUGUACAGCACUGACAUGCAGUGGCGAAACUACCACGUUUGCAGGGGUCGUAGCUGCGACUGGGCCCGCUGUGGACCCCUGCGACUGGGUGCCCAACGUCAUGUAUUGCGGCCCCAGCCCGGGCGGGAUAACCGCCGGGGCCACACAUCCUGGGUCCUAUCAGGUGGCCCAUGCUGUUAGGGCCAUUCUAUGGCAAAGUAUUACCAGGGGGCCCAGUCAGCGUUGCUGUACUUUAACAGCGCGACCGAGCCCCAUGUGAUGACAUCAGAGCUGGGAGGAAGUGACUGCCCCGGUCACUCCUCCCAGCUUACACACACCUUCUCCGGGAGUAAGGAGAGUAGGGAGUCAGCCUGAGCCACCACUGGACCCCAGGGAAGUCACCCUCCUGCAUUUAAAAGGUAGGAAAAAGGAGGGUGACUAAUGUAUGUGUGUGUGUGUCUGUAUGUAUUUGUGUGUGUGUCUCUGUAUGUAUGCGUGUAUGUCUCUCUGUGUGUGUGUCUCUGUAUGUAUCUAUGCCUUUGCAUGUAUGUCUCUGCAUGUACGUAUGUCUCUGUAUGUGUGUAUGUAUGUCUCUGUAUGUAUGUGUGUCUCUGUAUUCAUGUGUGUCUCUGUAUGCGUGUGUGUGUGUCUCUGUAUGUGUGUCUGCAUUUACAUAUGUAUCUUUGUGUUAGUUUGUGUGUCUGCAUUUGCAUGUGUGUCAGUGUGUGUAUGUGUAUCAGCAUGUGUGUCUGUGUAUGUAUCUGUAUGUGUUAUAUGGUAUGUAUCUGCACGUAUGUCAGUGUAUGCACGGGUGUGUCUGUGUAACUUUCACCCCACCACACACACUGUCACCCCUCUUCACCCUGCCACACUCACAAUAACUCUACCAAUCCUGUCACUCACCCAUGCCACACUCACCACCCAUCGCUCUACCAUAUUC
This 1738-nucleotide long non-coding RNA is filed under the name Pelobates cultripes (western spadefoot toad). Lineage: Eukaryota; Metazoa; Chordata; Amphibia; Anura; Pelobatidae. The record is from RNAcentral.